Molecule: non-coding RNA, 316 nt
Organism: Prunus avium (sweet cherry)
Lineage: Eukaryota; Viridiplantae; Streptophyta; Magnoliopsida; Rosales; Rosaceae
Source: RefSeq, a predicted model, not a curated record
ACCAGAUCGCACCCCCGCCACUCCCUCUUCCUUUCCCGGCCAGCCCCCGCCCUUGGAGACGCCGGAAUCUCGUCGGAAAACUGCCAAAAACGCGCUGGUUUUUUACAGAACUUCCAGCUGCUUGUUCUCCCUCAUUUCUCCACCAAAUUGGACGUGUAAGGUUGAAAUUUUUGGGGAAUGUUCAAUUUACAGGAGACACUGUCGAAUUUUCGGCAGAAAGUCUCGAUUUUUAGUAAGUGGACCCGACAUCGGUAAGAUGUCGGAAUUUCCACAGGAUUCGUCUCGGGUUCCGAGGAAUUUCGGGGCGGGUCCUGUC